UUGGAUUUAAACUUUUAGUUUGUGCGGGGGCGCACUCAUCCCUGGCUUUUGUAGGAGGCAGUGCUCCUGACUUCAAGCAAAGCUGUGCACUUGUAAUUCUGAAUAUAUCUUCCUGCAGUAAAGUUCAGGCGAAAGCGGAGACAGCGUGCGGUUCCAACGCCUUAAACCGCUCUCAUUGUGCGUCGGAGAGCGGCAGCUGCAGUGAUGGAACCGUGCACAUGAGAAUGAGCUAAUGCUCUUCCAUUAGAGGCGUCGGCGCUCGGAUCUGAGGCCGAGCGGAACCCGUCGGGGCCCUUUGUCUCCGGCGCAGCAGCAGCGGCACUCUUAGCGCUGCGCGCGGCGCCGUGACCCCGGGGGCGCGCGGCGCUCCCGGAACAGAUGCACCGCCCACGCGCAGCAGUCGCACCCCGGCGCACGCACAGCGGCCGCGCGGCGGCUGCACACGCGACGGCUGCGCGCUUCCAACGGAGGAACCGCAGAGGAAGGAGCCGCAGAGGAAGGAGCCGCAGGGCGGGUGUGAACAGCGCACAUAUUUACAGGAUCAAUAUUUACCCACAUUUUUUUCUCGGGAGCCAACACCUGCUGCAUCUUUGUACAAAGUCGAGAAGUUGCGAACAGCCUCCUCAUUGUGAGCGCCGCAGAGCAGAGCGGAGCCGAGCCGAGCCGAGCGGAGCCCCAGUUACCUCUCCAACAAGAGGCUCAUUAAGACCGAGAGAGAGCCAGGAAGAGAAGAGGAGAGAGAAGGAGGAGGAAAAAACGAUUUUUAAGUGUUGACUAAUAGAGGAGCUCCAAGCCUGAUAUUUCUGGCAGAGGGGAGGAGCAGGCGGACAGGCAGCAUCUGUUGGACCCCCUGAUCGAGGCCAGAAAAAUCCGCUCCUGCACCCAUUCGUCACCGGCCGCUUCUUCCAACCAACUGGAAACCACUGAAUUAUGUUUUUAAAAAGCCCAUUUUAUCUCUUUCUCACCUACUCGAACAUUUGAUAAUUCCGCAACUUCAACCAGCUGCUUGUUUGAGCUUCCCUGCUGAAAAUAUUUCAAGGUUAAAUGGUUUAAUAGUAAUUAUAGUAAAGCAACAUUUGAAUAUUACAUCGUCUAAAUACAGUUUUAUCAGUCCUCAAUUGUGUUAACAAUCGUUUAAUUGUUAGCUCCGCCACCCACACAAUAGUUGGGUGAAGACAAAACCCACUAAUGGCUCAGCAAAGAAGAAGAUGAAUAAAAUUAAAAGACACCUGCA
This 1234-nucleotide long non-coding RNA is filed under the name Betta splendens (Siamese fighting fish). Its description in RNAcentral is "lncRNA (ENSBSLG00000017214.1)". The record is from RNAcentral. Lineage: Eukaryota; Metazoa; Chordata; Actinopteri; Anabantiformes; Osphronemidae.